GCAGAGUAGGCGGUUGCGCGUUAAGUGUUGUGUGAACGGGGAGUUGUCAUGCAAACGAAAAGCCGUAGUUACGGACUUGCGGUGCAGCUGCUGCAUCCCGCUGC
This 104-nucleotide non-coding RNA is filed under the name pig gut metagenome. RNAcentral describes it as "THF riboswitch". It matches the Rfam family "THF (Tetrahydrofolate) riboswitch aptamer". From Rfam's summary of the family: THF riboswitch presents a pseudoknot that joins P1-P2 and the loop of P3 and two THF binding. The record is from RNAcentral.